UACAGAGGUGGCAAGCGUUGUUCGGAAUUACUGGGCGUAAAGGGCGCGUAGGCGGUCUCGUAAGUCUCGUGUGAAAUCCCUCGGCUUAACUGAGGAACUGCACGGGAUACUGCUUGACUUGAGUUCGGGAGAGGGAAGCGGAAUUCCGGGUGUAGCGGUGGAAUGCGCAGAUAUCAGGAGGAACACCGGUGGCGAAGGCGGGAUCCUGGGCCAGUACUGACGCUGAGGAGCGAAAGCGUGGGGAGCAAACAGG
This 253-nucleotide ribosomal RNA is filed under the name uncultured bacterium. Its description in RNAcentral is "partial 16S ribosomal RNA". It matches the Rfam family "Bacterial small subunit ribosomal RNA", at positions 524 to 776 of the family's 1533-position model. The record is from RNAcentral.